AACGCUAGCUACAGGCUUAACACAUGCAAGUCGAGGGGCAGCAUGGUCUUAGCUUGCUAAGGCCGAUGGCGACCGGCGCACGGGUGAGUAACACGUAUCCAACCUGCCGUCUACUCUUGGACAGCCUUCUGAAAGGAAGAUUAAUACAAGAUGGCAUCAUGAGUCCGCAUGUUCACAUGAUUAAAGGUAUUCCGGUAGACGAUGGGGAUGCGUUCCAUUAGAUAGUAGGCGGGGUAACGGCCCACCUAGUCUUCGAUGGAUAGGGGUUCUGAGAGGAAGGUCCCCCACAUUGGAACUGAGACACGGUCCAAACUCCUACGGGAGGCAGCAGUGAGGAAUAUUGGUCAAUGGGCGAGAGCCUGAACCAGCCAAGUAGCGUGAAGGAUGACUGCCCUAUGGGUUGUAAACUUCUUUUAUAAAGGAAUAAAGUCGGGUAUGGAUACCCGUUUGCAUGUACUUUGUGAAUAAGGAUCGGCUAACUCCGUGCCAGCAGCCGCGGUAAUACGGAGGAUCCGAGCGUUAUCCGGAUUUAUUGGGUUUAAAGGGAGCGUAGAUGGAUGUUUAAGUCAGUUGUGAAAGUUUGCGGCUCAACCGUAAAAUUGCAGUUGAUACUGGAUAUCUUGAGUGCAGUUGAGGCAGGCGGAAUUCGUGGUGUAGCGGUGAAAUGCUUAGAUAUCACGAAGAACUCCGAUUGCGAAGGCAGCCUGCUAAGCUGCAACUGACAUUGAGGCUCGAAAAGUGUGGGUAUCAAACAGGAUUAGAUACCCCUGGUAGUCCACACGGUAAACGAUGAAUACUCGCUGUUUUGCGAUAUACUGCAAGCGGCCAAGCGAAAGCGUUAAGUAUUCCACCUGGGGAGUACGCCGGCAACGGUGAAACUCAAAGGAAUUGACGGGGGCCCGCACAAGCGGAGGAACAUGUGGUUUAAUUCGAUGAUACGCGAGGAACCUUACCCGGGCUUAAAUUGCAGAUGAAUUACGGUGAAAGCCGUAAGCCGCAAGGCAUCUGUGAAGGUGCUGCAUGGUUGUCGUCAGCUCGUGCCGUGAGGUGUCGGCUUAAGUGCCAUAACGAGCGCAACCCUUGUUGUCAGUUACUAACAGGUUCCGCUGAGGACUCUGACAAGACUGCCAUCGUAAGAUGUGAGGAAGGUGGGGAUGACGUCAAAUCAGCACGGCCCUUACGUCCGGGGCUACACACGUGUUACAAUGGGGGGUACAGAGGGCCGCUACCACGCGAGUGGAUGCCAAUCCCCAAAACCUCUCUCAGUUCGGACUGGAGUCUGCAACCCGACUCCACGAAGCUGGAUUCGCUAGUAAUCGCGCAUCAGCCACGGCGCGGUGAAUACGUUCCCGGGCCUUGUACACACCGCCCGUCAAGCCAUGGGAGCCGGGGGUACCAAAAGUGCGUAACCGCGAGGAGCGCCCUAGGGUAAAACC
RNAcentral lists this ribosomal RNA (1436 nucleotides) under uncultured organism. RNAcentral describes it as "SSU rRNA". It matches the Rfam family "Bacterial small subunit ribosomal RNA". The record is from RNAcentral.